This is a non-coding RNA of Aegilops tauschii subsp. strangulata, 700 nucleotides long. The record is from RefSeq and is a predicted model, not a curated record. NCBI's taxonomy places the organism in Eukaryota, Viridiplantae, Streptophyta, Magnoliopsida, Poales, Poaceae.
ACUCGAUCGAGCAGCUCCUUUGUUCUACAUUUUGGUUCAGCCUUACACAUUUCACCGGAUAUCUGAAUUUAAUUAGAUGUAUGUAGAUAGAUACUUUGGCGUACAAGGACCCAUUGUACUCCUUUUUUUGUAGCCUCACAAUCAGUCCAUAUACAUGUUCUAGACCGUACAAAAUGGUGUGGUGGUAAUAAACUAAUAAUCAUGGCACCUUUACUGCAUACGACAAUAUGCAUAUACCCGACCGACGUUGUUGCUUAUGUACUUGUUGCUAAUGUAUUGGAUUUCACGAUGCUGGAAAUGUUUUGUUGUCACUUGUUCAGAUGGGAGGAGGCCAUGCCAAAUGGUGCGUGUGUGGCUGGCUUUGUUCAUUAGGUGUGCGUGUGGGAAAGCAGGCUCUCGUGGACUUUUCUUGCAGGCUACAAUAGACACAUCAAUGAUGCAUAUGGAGACAGAAAACACGAACCAAACAGCUAAUUAAAUUAAGCUCAGCUCUAGUAUUUAGUUCUUGGCGCCUGUGAGUGACUCGAGGACAAGCAGGCAGAAGCAGAAGCGGGGUCACAAUUGUGCAGUUUUAUGAAAGAAACAGAAAAAGAAAUAAGAUGCGGUAAAAUUUUGGUGAAGAACAUUUUUCCAUAGCUUGUGAACAUGUCGGUCCUCCGAUUUUAAUUUUUCAUGAUUUGUGGUCCAUUCAUGCUUUUGA